RNAcentral lists this ribosomal RNA (1322 nucleotides) under metagenome. Its description in RNAcentral is "bacterial LSU rRNA". It matches the Rfam family "Bacterial large subunit ribosomal RNA", at positions 1561 to 2925 of the family's 2925-position model. The record is from RNAcentral.
AGUGGAUGGGGAGCAACCUAGUUGUGCGUGUGUAAAGGUAGUGCCAAGAAAAGCGAUGAUCAUGUUGAAAAUCAAUUCCCGGUACCCGAAACCGACACAGGUGGGCAAGUAGAGAAUACUAAGGGGCGCGAGGUAACUCUCUCCAAGGAACUCGGCAAAAUGACCCCGUAACUUAGGGAGAAGGGGUGCCACCGAGAGGUGGUCGCAGUGAAGAGGCCCAGGCGACUGUUUAGCAAAAACAUAGGUCUCUGCAAACUCGAAAGAGGAGGUAUAGGGGCUGACGCCUGCCCAGUGCCGGAAGGUUAAAGAAGUUGGUCAGUCUUAGGAUGAAGCUAGCGACUGAAGCCCCGGUGAACGGCGGCCGUAACUAUAACGGUCCUAAGGUAGCGAAAUUCCUUGUCGGGUAAGUUCCGACCCGCACGAAAGGCGUAACGAUCUGGGCGCUGUCUCGGAGAGAGGCUCGGCGAAAUAGGAUUGUCUGUGAAGAUACGGACUACCUGCAUUUGGACAGAAAGACCCUAUGAAGCUUUACUAUAGCUUGGAAUUGUGUUCGGGCUUCCUGUGCGCAGGAUAGGUGGGAGGCGUAGAAGGUAUCCUUGUGGGGAUACUGGAGCCAACGGUGAGAUACCACUCUCAGGAGGCUAGAAUUCUAACUUAAUUAAGGACAGUUUCAGGUGGGUAGUUUGACUGGGGCGGUCGCCUCCAAAAAGGUAACGGAGGCGUACAAAGGUUCCCUCAGACUGGUUGGAAAUCAGUCGAAGAGUGCAAAGGCAGAAGGGAGCUUGACUGCGAGAAGUACAGUUCGAGCAGGGUGGAAACACGGUCUUAGUGAUCCGACGGUGCUGUGUGGAAGGGCCGUCGCUCAACGGAUAAAAGUUACUCUAGGAUAACAGGCUGAUCUCCCCCAAGAGUUCACAUCGACGGGGAGGUUUGGCACCUCGAUGUCGGCUCAUCGCAACCUGGGGCGGAAGUACGUCCCAAGGGUUGGGCUGUUCGCCCAUUAAAGCGGUACGUGAGCUGGGUUCAGAACGUCGUGAGACAGUUCGGUCCAUAUCCGAUGUAGGCGUGAGAAUAUUGAGAGGAGCCUUCCUUAGUACGAGAGGACCGGGAAGGACGCACCGCUGGUGUACCUGUUAUGAUGCCAAUUGUAAACGCAGGGUAGCCAAGUGCGGAGAGGAUAACCGCUGAAAGCAUCUAAGUGGGAAGCCCACCUCAAGAUGAGUAUUCUGGUGUAAGGUCACGGGAAGACGACCCGUAAAUAGGCACGAGGUGGAAGUGCAGAGAUGUAUGAAGCCGAAGUGUACUAAUAGACCGUCGGCUUG